RNAcentral lists this ribosomal RNA (455 nucleotides) under uncultured bacterium. RNAcentral's name for it is "bacterial SSU rRNA". It matches the Rfam family "Bacterial small subunit ribosomal RNA", at positions 340 to 786 of the family's 1533-position model. The record is from RNAcentral.
UACGGGAAGCAGCAGUGGGGAAUAUUGCACAAUGGGCGAAAGCCUGAUGCAGCUAUGCCGCGUGUAUGAAGAAGGCCUUAGGGUUGUAAAGUACUUUCAUCGGGGAGGAAAAACAAAACUAAUAAUUUUAUUUCUUGACGUUACCCGAAAAAGAAGCACCGGCUAACUCCGUGCCAGCAGCCGCGGUAAUACGGAGGGUGCUAGCGUUAAUCAGAAUUACUGGGCGUAAAGAGCACGUAGGUGGUUUUUUUAAGUCAGAUGUGAAAUCCCUGGGCUUAACCUAGGAACUGCAUUUUGAAACCGAAAUACUAGAGUAUCGUAGAGGGAGGUAGAAUUCUAGGUGUAGCGGUGAAAUGCGUAGAUAUCUGGAGGAAUACCUGUGGCGAAAGCGGCCUCCUAAACGAAUACUGACACUGAGGUGCGAAAGCGUGGGGAGCAAACAGGGAUUAGAUACC